Molecule: ribosomal RNA, 378 nt
Filed under: uncultured organism
Description: partial 16S ribosomal RNA
Rfam family: Bacterial small subunit ribosomal RNA
Source: RNAcentral
CGCAAUGGGCGAAAGUCUGACGGAGCGACGCCGCGUGGAGGAUGAAGUUCUUAGGAAUGUAAAAUUCUUUUUCCAGGGAAAAAGUUUAUUGACGUUCCCUCAGAAAUAAGAGGUUGCAAAAUUCGUCCCACCAGCACCGGUAAUACAAGGGCCCCAACCUUUUUCCGGAUCCUUUGGGGUUAAGGGAGGGUCGGGGGGUAUUUUUAUUUUUUUUUAAAUCCUUCGGCUUAACCGAGGGUAUGCCAGGGAAACGGCCUUGCUUAGAGGACGGAAGGGGUCACUGGAACUCAUGGGUAGCGGUGAAAUCUCUGAUAUCAUGGGGAACACCAAAAGCGAAGGCAAUAGACUGUCCAUUCCUGACGCUGAACCCGAAAGCGU